This 317-nucleotide ribosomal RNA is filed under the name uncultured Funneliformis. RNAcentral's name for it is "eukaryotic LSU rRNA". Lineage: Eukaryota; Fungi; Glomeromycota; Glomeromycetes; Glomerales; Glomeraceae. The record is from RNAcentral.
AACGCAAAUUGCACUCCCUGGCAUUCCGGGGAGUAUGCCUGUUUGAGGGUCGUUAGAAUAAAAAUCGAGGCGUCGCUCUUUUUUUUAAGGGUGAUCGCGUCGGAAUUGAGCCGUCUUUCAAAUGUUAAUUCAUGUCAAAGUGGCUUAAAAUUCAUCCAUCCGGUACGAUUAAAGCGUAUUUAAGAUCAAUUUUGAUUAAGAACGCGCGAUGACGUACCAUCUCAUGUAGUAUGUUUGACCUGUCGUCGUCAGGAUCAUUCGUAUACGAUACUCAAACUUUUGACCUCAAAUCAGGUAAGAAUACCCGCUGAACUUAA